RNAcentral lists this ribosomal RNA (253 nucleotides) under uncultured bacterium. RNAcentral describes it as "partial 16S ribosomal RNA". It matches the Rfam family "Bacterial small subunit ribosomal RNA", at positions 524 to 776 of the family's 1533-position model. The record is from RNAcentral.
UACGGGGGGGGCAAGCGUUGUUCGGAAUUACUGGGCGUAAAGGGCUCGUAGGCGGCCAACUAAGUCAGACGUGAAAUCCCUCGGCUCAACCAAGGAAGUGCAUCCGAAACUGACGAGCUUGAGUACUUAAGAGGAUCGCGGAAUUCCCGGUGUAGAGGUGAAAUUCGUAGAUAUCGGGAGGAACACCGGUGGCGAAGGCGGCGACCUGGGUCGAGACUGACGCUGAGGCGCGAAAGCGUGGGGAGCAAACAGG